Molecule: long non-coding RNA, 917 nt
Organism: Oreochromis aureus
Lineage: Eukaryota; Metazoa; Chordata; Actinopteri; Cichliformes; Cichlidae
Exons: 3
Source: RefSeq, a predicted model, not a curated record
GGAGAUGUCAUCAGUGAUGGUGAAGAAUUGGUUCCACCCCCUUCCUUGACCCCUCGAAUAAUCAUCAUCUAACUGUCUACCAUGCACAGGGACGUGCAUGAGUUCAGGAGGGGAGGGUGUAGCCCAGAUGGAAAAAACACAUUUACACCAAUGAUAAAGAAAGAGAGUGUUUAUUCUCUUUAUUUGAACUGUCCACAUCAACAGAACGUCAUAUUUCCUAUGACCAUUGAAUGCACCUCUCAGUUCACCCCACGUGAGGGCAUCUAGCUCAGCGACCAAUCAGAGCCUACGCAGGCCGCACUGACCCUGUCAGCCAGGAAGUGAGGUGAAGGUGCAUGGUGCUCCCGGGUUUUUCUCAUCUCAGCUAGAGGAGUGGAGGCAUCUGCUACUCAAACCGAGAAAUCGCAGGGACAAAAGAGAGGAAAAACUCAGAAUUGAGAGGAAGGAAAGCCAGCAUACUUACCUGCUGGAUGUCCGGAGUCGAGUGGCUGGAUGAAGGAGAGAAGCAACGUCGGCUAACCACUCACCUUUCAUCCGGAGAGCUGCUGCAAUUUCAACACCAGCGUGUGUUAGGCUUUUGUGAAACAGAGCAACGGUCAGGUUUUUUGGAGAGGACAGAAAAGUUCGAGGACCAGGACGAUAUUCCGGUCGUGAUAGAUGGCGAGCCAACCACUUUGAGGACGAUCCACCCCAAAGAAGAUACACACCCACACACUCAUACAUUCCAAUUACACUCACAAGGACCUUUGAAGUUGGCUAUUGCCAACUUAACUCUAUAUCCUUAAAGGGCCCCAACGAGUACUUUCAUUUUAUUUGAGUGUGCACACUAUUUAUUUUAUUUUAUACUUUUUCUGUACAAAUUGGACACUAAUUUUUUAUAUCUUGUAACAAUACAAGAGUGGCUACUCAAAAGUUAA